This 254-nucleotide ribosomal RNA is filed under the name uncultured bacterium. RNAcentral describes it as "partial 16S ribosomal RNA". It matches the Rfam family "Bacterial small subunit ribosomal RNA", at positions 524 to 776 of the family's 1533-position model. The record is from RNAcentral.
UACGGAGGGUGCAAGCGUUAUCCGGAUUUACUGGGUUUAAAGGGUGCGUAGGUGGGUCUGUAAGUCAGUGGUGAAAUCUCCGAGCUUAACUCGGAAACUGCCAUUGAUACUAUAGGUCUUGAAUUAUCUGGAGGUAAGCGGAAUAUGUCAUGUAGCGGUGAAAUGCUUAGAUAUGACAUAGAACACCAAUUGCGGAAGGCAGCUUACUACGGAUUGAUUGACACUGAGGCACGAAAGCGUGGGGAUCAAACAGG